Molecule: ribosomal RNA, 253 nt
Filed under: uncultured bacterium
Lineage: Bacteria
Description: partial 16S ribosomal RNA
Rfam family: Bacterial small subunit ribosomal RNA
Source: RNAcentral
GACGUAGGGGGCCAGCGUUGCUCGGAAUUACUGGGCGUAAAGGGUCCGUAGGCGGUGCGGUAAGUCGGGAGUGAAAUCUCUGGGCUUAACUCAGAGGCUGCUUCCGAAACUGCCGUGCUAGAGUGCGAGAGAGGCAAGUGGAAUUGCGGGUGUAGCGGUGAAAUGCGUAGAUAUCCGCAGGAACAUCCGAGGCGAAAGCGGCUUGCUGGAUCGCAACUGACGCUGAGGGACGAAAGCUAGGGGAGCAAACAGG